RNAcentral lists this ribosomal RNA (460 nucleotides) under uncultured bacterium. RNAcentral describes it as "partial 16S ribosomal RNA". It matches the Rfam family "Bacterial small subunit ribosomal RNA", at positions 338 to 795 of the family's 1533-position model. The record is from RNAcentral.
CCUACGGGCGGCAGCAGUGAGGAAUAUUGGUCAAUGGGCGCGAGCCUGAACCAGCCAAGUAGCGUGAAGGAUGACUGCCCUACGGGUUGUAAACUUCUUUUAUAAAGGAAUAAAGUGAGGCACGUGUGCCUUUUUGUAUGUACUUUAUGAAUAAGGAUAGGCUAACUCCGUGCCAGCAGCCGCGGUAAUACGGAGGAUCCGAGCGUUAUCCGGGUUUAUUGGGUUUAAAGGGAGCGUAGAUGGGUUGUUAAGUCAGUUGUGAAAGUUUGGGGCUCAACCGUAAAAUUGCAAUUGAUACUGGCAGACUUGAGUAAAGUUGAGGUAGGCGGAAUUCGUGGUGGAGCGGUGAAAUGCUUAGAUAUCACGAAGAACUCCGAUUGCGAAGGCAGCUUAUUAAACUGCCACUGACAUUGAUGCUCGAAAGUGUGGGUAGCAAACAGGAUUAGAUACCCCUGUAGUC